CGGAGGAGCUAGCGUUGUUCGGAAUUACUGGGCGUAAGCGCGCGUAGGCGGCUUGUAAGUUAGAGGUGAAGCCCGGGCUCAACUCCGGAACUGCCUUUAAGACUGCAUCGCUAGAAUCCAGGAGAGGUGAGUGGAAUUCCGAGUGUAGAGGUGAAUUCGUAGAUAUUCGGAAGAACACCAGUGGCGAAGGCGGCUCACUGGACUGGUAUUGACGCUGAGGUGCGAAAGCGUGGGAGCAAACAGGAUU
RNAcentral lists this ribosomal RNA (247 nucleotides) under uncultured bacterium. RNAcentral describes it as "partial 16S ribosomal RNA". It matches the Rfam family "Bacterial small subunit ribosomal RNA", at positions 527 to 779 of the family's 1533-position model. The record is from RNAcentral.